AGAGGACGGUAUCUAGAGGCAUUCAGGAUGGUCCAGCGUUUGAUAUACCGUCCAUCAUAGGCUGUCCUACAAUACAGUCUCUAUCAAAACCAGGCUGUCCCAAACCCCCAGUAAUAGAAUUGUUUACCUUUAUACCAAGAAGGUUGGGAAAGCACCAAAAUCCACAUGUGGCAUGUGCCCAGGCCAACUUUGAGGAGUUCAUGCUGUGAGACCUAAAGUUCUUAUGAGGUUGUCUAAAACGAAAAAACAUGUCAGCCAGGCCUAUGGUGGUUCCAUGUGUGCUAAAGUGUGUCCGUGACAGGAACAAGCACACUUUUCUUACUAAGAGAAAAUCGUUGUGAAAGUGUUGAAAGCACAAGCAUAGAGUCAGAAAGCUAAAUAAAAAAAUGAAGCUUUUUUGGGUAAUAAAAAAAAAAUCAAAA
This is an RNA transcript of Hippopotamus amphibius kiboko, 422 nucleotides long. It is a transcript of the gene named 60S ribosomal protein L34-like, with no coding region annotated. NCBI's taxonomy places the organism in Eukaryota, Metazoa, Chordata, Mammalia, Artiodactyla, Hippopotamidae. The record is from RefSeq and is a predicted model, not a curated record. The transcript has a single exon.